AGCGAACGCUGGCGGCAGGCCUAACACAUGCAAGUCGAACGAACUCUUCGGAGUUAGUGGCGGACGGGUGAGUAACACGUGGGAACGUGCCUUUAGGUUCGGAAUAACUCAGGGAAACUUGUGCUAAUACCGAAUGUGCCCUUCGGGGGAAAGAUUUAUCGCCUUUAGAGCGGCCCGCGUCUGAUUAGCUAGUUGGUGAGGUAAAGGCUCACCAAGGCGACGAUCCGUAGCUGGUCUGAGAGGAUGAUCUGCCACAUUGGGACUGGGACACGGCCCAAACUCCUACGGGAGGCAGCAGUGGGGAAUCUUGCGUAAUGGGCGAAAGCCUGACGCAGCCAUGCCGCGUGAAUGAUGAAGGUCUUAGGAUUGUAAAAUUCUUUCACCGGGGACGAUAAUGACGGUACCCGGAGAAGAAGCCCCGGCUAACUUCGUGCCAGCCGCCGCCGUAA
Molecule: ribosomal RNA, 449 nt
Filed under: uncultured bacterium
Lineage: Bacteria
Description: partial 16S ribosomal RNA
Rfam family: Bacterial small subunit ribosomal RNA
Source: RNAcentral